GAUGAAGAACGCAGCGAAAUGCGAUACGUAAUGUGAAUUGCAGAAUUCAGUGAAUCAUCGAGUCUUUGAACGCACAUUGGGCCCCCUGGUAUUCCGGGGGGCAAGCCUGUCCGAGCGUCAUUGCUGCCCUCAAGCACGGCUUGUGUGUUGGGCCUCCGUCCUCCUCCCGGGGGACGGGCCCGAAAGGCAGCGGCGGCACCGCGUCCGGUCCUCGAGCGUAUGGGGCUUCGUCACCCGCUCUUGUAGGCCCGGCCGGCGCUUGCCGACACAUCAAUCUUUUUUCCAGGUUGACCUCGGAUCAGGUAGGGAUACCCGCUGAACUUAAGCAUAUCAAUAAGCGGAGGA
RNAcentral lists this unclassified non-coding RNA (345 nucleotides) under soil metagenome. RNAcentral describes it as "partial contains 5.8S ribosomal RNA, internal transcribed spacer 2, and large subunit ribosomal RNA". The stretch from base 1 to 120 matches the Rfam family "5.8S ribosomal RNA", at positions 35 to 154 of the family's 154-position model. The record is from RNAcentral.